CGGUCUGUCAAGUCGGAUGUGAAAUCCCCGGGCUCAACCUGGGAACUGCAUUCGAAACUGGCAGGCUAGAGUCUUGUAGAGGGGGGUAGAAUUCCAGGUGUAGCGGUGAAAUGCGUAGAGAUCUGGAGGAAUACCGGUGGCGAAGGCGGCCCCCUGGACAAAGACUGACGCUCAGGUGCGAAAGCGUGGGGAGCAAACAGGAUUAGAUACCCUGGUAGUCCACGCCGUAAACGAUGUCGACUUGGAGGUUGUGCCCUUGAGGCGUGGCUUCCGGAGCUAACGCGUUAAGUCGACCGCCUGGGGAGUACGGCCGCAAGGUUAAAACUCAAAUGAAUUGACGGGGGCCCGCACAAGCGGUGGAGCAUGUGGUUUAAUUCGAUGCAACGCGAAGAACCUUACCUACUCUUGACAUCCAGAGAACUUUCCAGAGAUGGAUUGGUGCCUUCGGGA
Molecule: ribosomal RNA, 450 nt
Filed under: Enterobacter sp. AS11
Lineage: Bacteria; Pseudomonadati; Pseudomonadota; Gammaproteobacteria; Enterobacterales; Enterobacteriaceae
Description: bacterial SSU rRNA
Rfam family: Bacterial small subunit ribosomal RNA
Source: RNAcentral